Molecule: unclassified non-coding RNA, 167 nt
Filed under: uncultured fungus
Lineage: Eukaryota; Fungi
Description: sequence contains ITS1
Source: RNAcentral
CUGAUUUCUGCCUAGGCUGGUUGAGUCUCUAGGGACUCCCGGCCAAAGCGAUAUACCACUUGUGCACCAUGAUGUCUUUUGGGUUUUGGAAGCAGCUCUAGAGCGGCGACCUUGACCCAGCGUUGUAAACCAAUUAAUUUUUUGUCUGAAAUUUCUAUAAAUAGAAA